GCGGUGUUAGCUCAGCCGGAUAGAGCACCCGAUUCCGAAUCGGGAGGUCCGAGGUUCGACCCCUCGACUCCGCA
This 74-nucleotide transfer RNA is filed under the name Myxococcales bacterium. Its description in RNAcentral is "tRNA-Arg". It matches the Rfam family "tRNA". Rfam says of the family: Transfer RNA (tRNA) molecules are approximately 80 nucleotides in length. Lineage: Bacteria; Pseudomonadati; Myxococcota; Myxococcia; Myxococcales. The record is from RNAcentral.